Molecule: ribosomal RNA, 327 nt
Filed under: Triticum aestivum (bread wheat)
Lineage: Eukaryota; Viridiplantae; Streptophyta; Magnoliopsida; Poales; Poaceae
Description: partial small subunit ribosomal RNA
Source: RNAcentral
AUGUGCUCGACGUCGGCUGCAUCGAGCAGCAGCAGCUACCAGCACCAUCGGGCCUCUACCUCCCCUGCCGCCUCGACAAGUCCGGCCUCCUGCAGCCCCUUUUCGUCCCUAACCGAGCAGUGCGCCUUCUCAUCGCCCUGCCUCCAUGUCCACUGCGUGUGCCAGCGCCCAUGUCCAAGUACCACGUUUUCUCUGCUGCCCCGUGCACCUUUGGCUGCUGCCUUGAGAGGCCCUUUUGUCGUGAUUCAUUUCGGGUCGGCCAGAACGAGAACGCCAAGUACCUUCGCCGAAGAUUCAUGUAUAACUACCAUCGCCAAGACCCCGUGA